RNAcentral lists this ribosomal RNA (497 nucleotides) under uncultured bacterium. Its description in RNAcentral is "partial 16S ribosomal RNA". It matches the Rfam family "Bacterial small subunit ribosomal RNA", at positions 28 to 507 of the family's 1533-position model. The record is from RNAcentral.
GAUGAACGCUGGCGGCGUGCCUAAUACAUGCCAGUCGAGCGAACAGACGAGGAGCUUGCUCCUCUGACGUUAGCGGCGGACGGGUGAGUAACACGUGGAUCACCUCCCUAUAAGACUGAGAUAACUUCGGGAAACCGGCGCUAAUACCGGAUAAUAUAUUGAACCGCAUGGUUCAAUAGUGAAAGACGGUUUUGCUGUCUCUUAUCGAUGGAUCCGCGCCGCAUUAGCUAGUUGGUAAGGUAACGGCUUACCAAGGCAACGAUGCGUAGCCGACCUGAGAGGGUGAUCGGCCACACGGGAAGUGAGACACGGUCCAGACUCCUACGGGAGGCAGCAGUAGGGAAUCUUCCGCAAUGGGCGAAAGCCUGACGGAGCAACGCCGCGUGAGUGAUGAAGGUCUUCGGAUCGUAAAACUCUGUUAUUAGGGAAGAACAAAUGUGGAAGUAACUAUGCACGUAUUGACGGUACCUAAUCAGAAAGCAACGGCUAACUACGUG